AAGAAUGGCAGGUAAAACUUUUGUCCAAAUGUCAUGAGCAUUUCACGGAUUUUCCAGAUAUUCAAAAUAUUUUCUGUAAUGAUCUCAAGUUUGCAGAACGAUGCAAGACAAGGAGUAGUCCAUUGAUAUCCCAGGGAAAUGAACUGAAAUAAAACUACGCUAUGUUGAUGUGUAUCUCGAUAAUCUUUCUCAAGUUACAGGAUUACUUUGAGAAAAAAAGAAAAAUGAGGGAGAGAGAAUGGAGGAGAAAGAAAGACAGAAAAGAAGAGAAGUAGAGAGGAAAGAAGAAAGUGAAGAGAGAAGAGAAAGAUCGAGAUAAUGAAAUAUUUGCCGAUACUCCUCUUCGUUGGUUGUUGUGUAUUUAUAGAUGAGAUUGUGCCUGUGACUGAAUGAGAUUGAUCUG
This 403-nucleotide long non-coding RNA is filed under the name Nicotiana tabacum (common tobacco). Its description in RNAcentral is "long non-coding RNA (NTAB_LNC013064)". The record is from RNAcentral. Lineage: Eukaryota; Viridiplantae; Streptophyta; Magnoliopsida; Solanales; Solanaceae.